CCUACGGGUGGCAGCAGUGAGGAAUAUUGGUCAAUGGCCGGAAGGCUGAACCAGCCAAGCCGCGUGAAGGACGAAGGUGCCAAGCAUUGUAAACUUCUUUUGUCAAGGGACAAAAUCAGGCACGAGAGCCUGACUGAGGGUACUUGAUGAAAAAGCAUCGGCUAACUCCGUGCCAGCAGCCGCGGUAAUACGGAGGAUGCGAGCGUUAUCCGGAUUUAUUGGGUUUAAAGGGUGCGUAGGCGGAUUGUUAAGUCAGUGGUAAAAGCCCGGGGCUCAACCUCGGCUUGCCGUUGAAACUGGCAGUCUUGAGUUGACGAGAGGUAUGCGGAAUGCGCAGUGUAGCGGUGAAAUGCUUAGAUAUUGCGCAGAACUCCGAUUGCGAAGGCAGCAUACCGGCGGGGAACUGACGCUGAGGCACGAAAGCGUGGGUAUCGAACAGGAUUAGAUACCCGUGUAGUC
Molecule: ribosomal RNA, 459 nt
Filed under: uncultured bacterium
Lineage: Bacteria
Description: partial 16S ribosomal RNA
Rfam family: Bacterial small subunit ribosomal RNA
Source: RNAcentral